This 500-nucleotide ribosomal RNA is filed under the name uncultured bacterium. RNAcentral's name for it is "bacterial SSU rRNA". It matches the Rfam family "Bacterial small subunit ribosomal RNA", at positions 29 to 523 of the family's 1533-position model. The record is from RNAcentral.
AUUGAACGCUGGCGGCAUGCCUUACACAUGCAAGUCGAACGGCAGCACGGGAGCAAUCCUGGUGGCGAGUGGCGAACGGGUGAGUAAUAUAUCGGAACGUGCCCAGUCGUGGGGGAUAACGUAGCGAAAGCUACGCUAAUACCGCAUACGAUCUAUGGAUGAAAGCGGGGGAUCGCAAGACCUCGCGCGAUUGGAGCGGCCGAUAUCAGAUUAGGUAGUUGGUGGGGUAAAAGCCCACCAAGCCGACGAUCUGUAGCUGGUCUGAGAGGACGACCAGCCACACUGGGACUGAGACACGGCCCAGACUCCUACGGGAGGCAGCAGUGGGGAAUUUUGGACAAUGGGCGCAAGCCUGAUCCAGCAAUGCCGCGUGCAGGAUGAAGGCCUUCGGGUUGUAACUGCUUUGUACGGAACGAAACGGUCGUCUCCUAAUACGGGGGCGUAAGUGACGGUACCGUAAGAAUAAGCACCGGCUAACUACGUGCCAGCAGCCGCGGUAA